This 299-nucleotide unclassified non-coding RNA is filed under the name Hevea brasiliensis (rubber tree). Lineage: Eukaryota; Viridiplantae; Streptophyta; Magnoliopsida; Malpighiales; Euphorbiaceae. The record is from RNAcentral.
GAAGUAAAAGAAGUGUCUAAGCCUAUAAAGCCACUUCAGCACCGAUAUGGACGAAUAACAGGAGAGAUUAUGAGACGAAGGAAUAGAACUAGUGAUUUGUCAGUGCUUGAGAAACUAGCAGAAGAGGCUUGGAUUUUGGGAUUGAAGGCAUGGGGAGAAGUGGAGAAGUAUGAUGAAAAGGAGAUUGCACAAAAUUCCGUAUAUGAGGGGAAGCCUGAGUCAUGCCCCUCAUGGUUAUCAAUAAGUGGGGAGGAGUUGGUUGGGGGGGAAAAGAUGAUGUUCCUUCCAUGUGGUUUAGC